UACGGGGGGGGCAAGCGUUGUUCGGAAUUACUGGGCGUAAAGGGUUUGUAGGUGGCUUGUUAAGUCAGACGUGAAAUCCCUCAGCUUAACUGGGGAACUGCGUCUGAUACUGGCGAGCUUGAGUGCAGGAGAGGAACGCGGAAUUCCAGGUGUAGCGGUGAAAUGCGUAGAUAUCUGGAGGAACACCGAUGGCGAAGGCAGCCCCCUGGGAUGAGACUGACGCUCAUGUACGAAAGCGUGGGGAGCAAACAGG
RNAcentral lists this ribosomal RNA (253 nucleotides) under uncultured bacterium. Its description in RNAcentral is "partial 16S ribosomal RNA". It matches the Rfam family "Bacterial small subunit ribosomal RNA", at positions 524 to 776 of the family's 1533-position model. The record is from RNAcentral.